This 2834-nucleotide long non-coding RNA is filed under the name Olea europaea subsp. europaea. Lineage: Eukaryota; Viridiplantae; Streptophyta; Magnoliopsida; Lamiales; Oleaceae. The record is from RNAcentral.
UAGAGAUGCAUUUUUUUCAGGAUCACACUAAUGUGGAAUCCGAAAAUGAAGAUAGAGAGAAAGAAUUUUCAAAUUUAUAUGAUGACGUCGAAAUUCCUUUAUAUCCUGGUUGCACGAAGUAUACAAGGAUAUCUACAAUUGUUGUCUUGAAUAAGCUUAAAACUGCUCAUGGUAUAUCUGACAAUGGUUUUAAUGAACUUCUUGAUAUUAUUCGAGAUAUGCUACCACAUGGGAACACCCUUCCUGAUUCUUGCAAUUCGAUGAAAAGGUUAUUGAAUACCUUUGAUUCAGGUUAUGAGAAGAUACAUGCAUGUGUUAAUGAUUGUUGCUUGUUUAGAAAGGAUUUAGUGAAUUUGGAUACUUGUCCAAAAUGUGGAUCUUCGCGGUGGAAAGUUAAUGAACGAACUAAGAAGAUUCAAAAAGGGAUACAUGCAAAGGUUUUGCGAUAUUUUCCAAUUAUACCACGAUUUAGAAGAAUGUUUAGGUCACUCGAUAAGGCAGAACAACUAAUAUGGCACUCAAAUCACAAAAGUCAAGAUGGAAAAAUGCAUCAUCCGGUUGAUUCAUUAGCUUGGAAGAGAAUUGAUUUGCAUCAGAACCACGAAAUCUUAGGCUUCGCCUGUCUCCUGAUGGAUUUAAUCCCUUUGGUGACCUAAGUUCUAGGUAUAGUUGUUGGCCAGUGAUACUAGUUAUUUAUAAUCUCCGUCCUUGGAUAUGUAUGUCUAAGGAAAAUUUGUUGUUGACUUUAUUAAUCCCAGGUCCAAAGCAACCUCGAAAUGAUAUAGUUGUGUACCUAGACCACUAAUAGAAUGCUUAAAGGAGAUGUGAAAUAUUGGUGUUGAAGUAUAUGAUGGAUUUACUAAGUCUACCUUCAAUUUGAAGGUUGUGCUAAUAUGGACAAUUAAUGAUUUUCCAGCUUAUGGGAACUUAUUAGGAUAUCCUACGAAAGGCGAAGCAGCAUGUCCAGUUUGUGGGUUAUCCACAUGUGCAAAAUGGUUGACAUGUAGUUGAAAGUUUUCUUGAUGAUAUAUGAGACCAUGUGCAGGUAAUAUAAAUGUCGCAUCUUUUAUAUAAUUUAAAUGAAAUUACUAUUAAUAUUGUGUACUUUGAUGCAGCAAAAGUUUGAUGUCGAUGCUUGUCAUAGAAAAUACAUCAUGCAAAAAAUGGGAAAAAAUUGGCGAGAUCAUUGAUGUAAUUUCCUUAAAGCAAUCAAUAACAAAGGAAAAUCAAUUGGCAUGACACGAGCUGCUGCUCUCCUCAAGCUCAAUAAUGUUGAAUCAAUGGAAGAAUGGUAAGCAUUUGUCAAAGAACGCAAUUCUCGACCAUAUAAGGUAAGCUUUGAUUGAUUUUGUAUAUUGAUUGUGUUUUGCAACAUACUGCUUACUGCACCUGUUGUAUAUUCGCCACAACAUUUAUGUCUAUUACAACGUGCAUAAAUGAUGUUGUAGGAAAAGAAUGAAAGAUUCAAAAAGAUGAGAGCAAGUCAAACCAUGUUGUAUACAACAAGAAGAAAGGGUUUUACUUGCUUAGAAGUUGAAAUGGUAAAAAAUUGUUAAAUUAAAGUUAAAUUUGUUUUAAAAAUUAUAAAUGUUAUACAAACUACCACACAUGAAAUGUAAAAUGUAGCGUGCUUAAAGUGAAGAUCCUGAUUCAAUAACGAGAGAUGAUGUUUAUAUUCGAGGACAUACGCGAAAAAAUGGUGAACCUAUUAACGAAUCAGUUGGGGAAACAUUGGUAACAAUAUUUCUUUUAGUAAUUUUUUAUCAUUUAAAGCUUAUAUUAGGUAAUUUUAGCUCAUUAAUGCAUUUCCUCAUAUCAGAAUAAAAUAAAAGCAUAUUCAGAGACAGUUUUCUCUCCAAGUAAACACUCACUUGAAGGUGAUGGUGGUGCAAAAGUAUUUGGUCCAAAACGUCCAGGACGGGUAAGAGGUCUUGGUUUUGGUGCAACUCCUUCAAAGUUGAAUGCUUUGGUGCACAAUCAUAACUUGCAAACUGAAGUUCAAGAGUUAAGGGAUGAAAUUAAAGAAUUAAAAGCUCUGUUUCAAGUGAAGAGUAAAUGUGCUGAACAAGAAGAUAAUGUAAGUGGAAAUCUAGAAUCAAUGAAUGUUAUUUUAAAUUACAUAUACUUUCUAUAUUCAAAAUAAUAAAUUGUACAACUGGAUAUUAAUUUUAUAGUUUAGAGAUAGAAGCUUGAAUGGUUUAGAUAACCUUCAAAAUAAGAAGUUCAAUUUGUUAUCUUGGUUGGGAAAGCUGAUAUUGUUGCAAAAGGUGAAAUCACAUUAACAAAUCCAAAUGAUCUAGUGCAUCAUGUACCCCUUGGUAAUGAAUGUUGGAGAGUUUGGGUUAAUGAAGUGAUCGAUAAUGUUAGCUUAUAUCGUCCCACGCGUGAGAUUUUUCUUCUGGAAGAUGUAUUAGGAAGUACAAUUGCAUGGCCAAGUAGGUAUAUCGAAGUGGAUUCACUGUAAUCACAACGAAGGUAUGCUUAACUUCUUUUCUAUUUUAAUUCCAUUUACCUUUAUGUUCGGUCUCUAUUGAAGAUUGGGUUGUUUAAUUUAUUUUUUAUUUGGAUGCUUAUUAAUUAUAUCUUUAUUAUUUUCGUGGUGUACAGGGGAUCCAUAUUUUGUGGGGUAGCUAAAUUGUCGGUCAAAGAAGUGAACUUUGAUACGUUUAAUAAUUUUUUGUUAUAUGAUGGAACCUCAAUAUCCACAGGCUUAUUAGUUGAAUGGUGAUUGGCGCAUACAAUAGUAGUCGAAUUUUUCUGAGAAUUGUUUAGAUGAAUUUUACAUUGGCAUAUUGUAUUGAACCGUAGUCAAUAUUUCUUUUUAUCGAAACAAU